RNAcentral lists this ribosomal RNA (928 nucleotides) under uncultured bacterium. RNAcentral describes it as "bacterial SSU rRNA". It matches the Rfam family "Bacterial small subunit ribosomal RNA", at positions 23 to 947 of the family's 1533-position model. The record is from RNAcentral.
CUCAGGAUGAACGCUAGCGGCAGGCUUAAUACAUGCAAGUCGAGGGGCAGCAUGGUUGUAGCAAUACCACUGAUGGCGACCGGCAAACGGGUGCGGAACACGUACGCAAUCUACCCAAAACUGAUGAAUAGCCCUCCGAAGGGAGGAUUAAUACAUCGUAACUUAAUGAAGUGGCAUCAUUUUAUUAAUAUAGCUCCGGCGGUUUUGGAUGAGCGUGCGCCUGAUUAGGUAGUUGGCGGGGUAACGGCCCACCAAGCCAGCGAUCAGUAACUGGUGUGAGAGCACGACCAGUCACACGGGCACUGAGACACGGGCCCGACUCCUACGGGAGGCAGCAGUAAGGAAUAUUGGUCAAUGGACGCAAGUCUGAACCAGCCAUGCCGCGUGAAGGAUGAAGGUCCUCUGGAUUGUAAACUUCUUUUAUAUGGGACGAAACCUCUUAUUCUUAAGAGACUGACGGUACCAUAGGAAUAAGCACCGGCUAACUCCGUGCCAGCAGCCGCGGUAAUACGGAGGGUGCAAGCGUUAUCCGGAUUCACUGGGUUUAAAGGGAGCGUAGGAGGGCAGGUAAGUCAGUGGUGAAAUCUUCGAGCUUAACUCGGAAACUGCCGUUGAUACUAUCUGUCUUGAAUACCGUGGAGAUGAGCGGAAUAUGUCAUGUAGCGGUGAAAUGCUUAGAUAUGACAUAGAACACCAAUUGCGAAGGCAGCUCGUUACACGAAUAUGACUCUGAGGCUCGAAAGCGUGGGGAUCAAACAGGAUUAGAUACCCUGGUAGUCCACGCCCUAAACGAUGGAUACUCGACAUACGCGAUACACAGUGUGUGUCUGAGCGAAAGCAUUAAGUAUCCCACCUGGGAAGUACGACCGCAAGGUUGAAACUCAAAGGAAUUGGCGGGGGUCCGCACAAGCGGUGGAGCAUGUGGUUU